UUUUGAAUGGAGAGUAAUGUGUGUCAUGGAUGCAGAUGCUUGAUGCGUUGCGGUGUUUGAUGAGGGAGCGGAUGCUCUCAGGUUCAUGAAGAAGGCCUGGCCGUGUGGAAUCUCGGGAAGUGAUUAUAGUUCUGGAUGUGGCGGAGGUGAAUUUCAUUAGAAAUACUCCGUUAAAUUGUGUUUGAUGUCGUGUACCACGUUUUUCUGGUGAAAGACUUUGAGAGACCUCAUGCCUAUUUUAUUAGAAAAGUUGGCUUGGUUGUGGAAGUCUGGCUUGGCUACGGAGAUUGCAGUCUGCUUCAACUUAUGUCAUCCUUGACUGACGAAUCGGUAGAAACUUCGAUUUGCUGAGUAAACUUCGAUUUGAGAUUGCAGCCGGUGCGAGCGAUAGGUAGCUAGCGUUCUUGUCAAGACUCUUCGUAGUUUUCUGUCCUUUUUUCUUUUUAAUCAUUGUUGGUUCAAUGUGAGUAAAGGCGUGCUUAUCUUUCAACGUUUCUUGGAUGGUGUCACAUUCACACUUUCAGCUGCCGGUCAGCGAUCGAAUUAUCAGUUUGAGUGAAUAUUAUGCACAACCACAUUGAGUUGACGGAUGUCCUAAUGUGUUCAUGUCAAACAUCUGUUGUAGGGAUGAAUAUGUGGAUUGUUUCCAACGAAGCGAGAACAAUAAUCAGCUUACUGCAAAUAUUACUGGAAGGCUCAUUACAUUCCAGAAGAGCUAAUGAGCUGUCCAGUAAAUUGAUGGCUCAAUGAAACGUCUCAUACGAGUACUAGCAAUGUGGAUGUCUAAUGAAGAAAAAUGAAGCUUUAGUGUUAAUGCGUUUUAGUUUAAAUUGUGAAUCAAGAGUCACGUCCACCUUGAGUAACGCAGAUGACGGAUGUGUUUUAGAUGGAAACAUAACAGGCUACAUGCAUUUUUUGAUUUUCCCCUCAGAGGCAGCUCUGAGUAGGGGAUUUUGAAGUUGGUUAAGUCAAAAACCAAGAAGGCGAGGUUUUCCAAUGUUCCUUAAGCCAGGGAAGUGUCAUAAGCCAUGUAAACAUGGUGAUAUAAGGGAUUCAGAGGGACUGCACAAUAUUUUUUUCACGAAAUGCAUGCAAACGACUCCAGUUUGCAGAAGUCUACAAUCCAAAAUGAACGAACUGCGUCGAACAGGGGAUGUCUGAUCAGCUGGCUGGUUGUUGCGUUGAAGCUGGCGGACAAGUUGUACAGAAUGCAACUCCUGGAACUCAUUCACCAACAGAUUUUAGCUGUACACGGUGUGCUACCUUUGUGGAGGGCUAGGGCAUUACUGUUUCGACAAUUCCCAUAAGAGCGCGUGUCGGUAGGCGGGUACUGCAACGUUGCCGAACAUCUGGUAGCUCUUACGAUGCAUAUAAAUUGUACUGAAGAGCAGUUGUGCGCUCAUCCGAAGUUACUGUUCAUACAUCUGCUACUCGUCUGUGGGAGGAUGUACAGGAAUGAAGAUUUUACUUCCCCGAUUGCCGAGUAAUUCCUUGAAUGCGUUGCAUGAAUGCCUCAUGUGUCUACAAUCUCCAGGUUUUUGGUAUCCUGCACAAUGUACGCCAUGCUGAAGAUAGCGAGUGACGCGGAUCUCCACACAAUAUUCAACUUCUUCUGGUUUAUGGCUUUGCUACAUAAUUCCGUCAUUGAAGGUAUGAAAAUCUGUAUCAUAAGACCCUGAUACUCGCUCUAUUGGUACAAGCAAAUCCUUCUUUACUUAGAGCACCACAGACAUCUUCACUAGCCUGUGUUAAGGGUCCACAUGUUGCAACUAGGUUUGACCUGCUUGGAAAUUCACGAUACUAGAUGCAAGUGAUUGCGAAGCAAUUGGCAAGAUCCUCCAACAUUUACCAACAACAUGUAAAAAUCUUGUUACUGUUGCCUUGGAAAGAUCAACAACGUUGGUUGUACCAGUAUUGUAACAAUUUUUUGGGUCCACUUAUUGUUGUCAAUGUAGUUUUGUAUACGUGAGCAAUAAAAAAAAUAAAUGUACCGAUACA
Non-coding RNA from Physcomitrium patens, 1998 nucleotides. Lineage: Eukaryota; Viridiplantae; Streptophyta; Bryopsida; Funariales; Funariaceae. The record is from RefSeq and is a predicted model, not a curated record.